AUCUCCAAUAGCGUAUAUUAAAUUUGUUGCAGUUAAAAAUCUCGUAGUUGAACUUGUGGUUUGUUUGGCUUGGUCCGACGCUCAUGCAUUGGUACCUGAGCCAUGCUCCCAUCCUUGUCUGGAACCUGUGUGGCAUUAGGUUGUUGUGCAGGGAAUGCCAAUCGUUUACUGUGAAAAAUUAGAGUGUUCAAAGCAGGCUUAUGCUGUUGAAUAUAUUAGCAUGGAAUAAUAAAAUAAGACUUUAGUACUAUUUUGUUGGUUUGUGCACUAAAGUAAUGAUUAAUAGGGACAGUUGGGGGUAUUCUUAUUCCAUUGUUAGAGGUGAGAUUCUUGGAUUUUUGGACGACAAACUACUGCAAAAACAUUUAUCAAGGAUGUUUUCA
This 383-nucleotide ribosomal RNA is filed under the name uncultured eukaryote. RNAcentral's name for it is "SSU rRNA". It matches the Rfam family "Eukaryotic small subunit ribosomal RNA", at positions 587 to 972 of the family's 1831-position model. The record is from RNAcentral.